RNAcentral lists this long non-coding RNA (649 nucleotides) under Rattus norvegicus (Norway rat). Its description in RNAcentral is "long non-coding RNA NONRATT003916". Lineage: Eukaryota; Metazoa; Chordata; Mammalia; Rodentia; Muridae. The record is from RNAcentral.
AACUAUUUGAACUCCUCUCUCAAGAAACAUCACCCCAUCUCAUGGAAAGAAUUCAUCACUGCGGCCAAAACUUGGUGAACACUCCCAGUACGGAAACCUCAAAGAGGCAAUAAAAAGAAGUUCUGGCUACAGUGGAAAAUAAGCCAAGCUCCCGCCAAGUUGAGUACUUUGCAAACAGUGAAAACCAAACGUUGAACGCGUGAUCAGACGCUACCGGCGCAUCUCGAGAACAGCUCAGCGAACCCGAAAUGGAGUCGAAAGGGCAGGCAUUUGUCUGAGAGAAGAGAGCCCCUUUAAGAAAAGACUGGACCAGCUGGCUGCACUACAGCGCCUAGAGAUUUCCUGGCUCCGCCCCCCAGCCUCCGGCCUCAGCAACGCGUGACGUCAGGAGAGGCGGAUGCUGCCGAUUGGCUGGACGAUACAGCUAGGUCAAGUCCAGUCGGAGGAAAGAAGUUUGUCUCCAUGUGGAAACCAUGUGUCUAGUACUGGGAGGGGGAGGAGGAGGAGGCGGAGAAACUGAGAUCAAGUGAUUACAGGGGAACUCGCUGAAAUGAAGGCGGGGAGGUUGUGCACCUGAAUCAGCCAGCCAUACCCUUUGCAGUAGUGACCUAAAAAAAAAAAUAAAAAUAAAAAAGACUCACACAACAAA